Cebus imitator (Panamanian white-faced capuchin) is the source of this 452-nucleotide long non-coding RNA. RefSeq lists it as uncharacterized. The record is from RefSeq and is a predicted model, not a curated record. Lineage: Eukaryota; Metazoa; Chordata; Mammalia; Primates; Cebidae. The transcript is spliced from 3 exons.
GGGAGAGGGGCGGGGCCGGCGGGGCCGUUUUGCUUCGAGGAUUGUUUGAGAAGCUUUAGGCGGCGGGUGUCUCUGGAAGAAAUUAGAAUCUGGAAACUGUUCUUCAGGAAGAUAUCCUUUAGUUUGGAAUUGGAGGAUUCCUUUGCAUCAGAUACUGAAAUGAAAGAACCAUUGUUAGAUGGUGAAUGUGACAAGGCAGAGGCAUCACGGCUGGGGCUGCUAGAUGAAAUUAAGACAGAACCCGACAAUGUUCAAGAGUUUUGUCACACCCAACCGUCCAGAACUCAGGAGAAUGAACUGAAAAUAAACACUGUGGUUUCAGAGAGUGGUAAUAGAGUUAUUUAAGUUAAUCACGUUUAUUCAGACCAGUAUGAUAGCUAAUUCAUUCUUUUUUAAUGACUUUGAAUAUUACUCUGUGUUGGGUUUCAAGUCCAGGAGAAGUAACCUGUAAG